Non-coding RNA from Maylandia zebra (zebra mbuna), 423 nucleotides. Lineage: Eukaryota; Metazoa; Chordata; Actinopteri; Cichliformes; Cichlidae. The record is from RefSeq and is a predicted model, not a curated record.
UUUGAAGUCUGUUCCAGGACCUGCAGGAGACAUGGCAAAGGUCAUCGAUUCCUUCCUGUCUAAACUCACAUGUCAGCAGUGAAGAUCCUGAACGCAUCGUUCUCCGUUAACAGUUCAAUUCAAUUUUAUUCGCCUCAGGGCGCAUGAACAGUCUCCUUAGUUUUGAAAGUGUUAUUCAUAGUAGCUGCUGACGUUUGCACUGACUGGCUCUUAGUGUGGGCUGGAUGUAUUUGCAGAGCAGCUUAAGCAACUAAAGAAUUGAGCAAUGUCUACAACAGCAAUGGUGUGACAAGGCCGAUAAUUUCUCUCUUAAGUAGCAAAGUAGUAUUUUGUAAAUAAUUAUCCACUUAUUUUCACAACGCAGAUAUUGUGAUGACUGUAAGAUUUUUGUCCUUUUAACUGCUUCAUUAAUGAUUAACACUU